This 828-nucleotide ribosomal RNA is filed under the name uncultured bacterium. RNAcentral describes it as "bacterial SSU rRNA". It matches the Rfam family "Bacterial small subunit ribosomal RNA", at positions 8 to 818 of the family's 1533-position model. The record is from RNAcentral.
AGAGUUUGAUCCUGGCUCAGGAUGAACGCUGGCGGCGCAUUUAAGACAUGCAAGUCGAACGGAGAUUUAUCUAAACAAAUUGAGUAGUUUACUACGAGAAGAGUUUUUAUAAAUUUUAGUGGCGGACGGGUGAGUAAUACGUAGGCAACCUGCCUCAAAGAGGGAAAUAACUAGAAGAAAUUUUAGCUAAUGUCCCAUAAGACUACACUAUGGCAUCAUAGAGCAGUCAAAGGAGUAAUCCGCUUUGAGAUGGGCCUACGGCUGAUUAGUUAGUUGGUGAGGUAAUGGCUCACCAAGACCAUGAUCAGUAGCCGGGCUGAGAGGCUGUACGGCCACAUUGGGACUGAGACACGGCCCAGACUCCUACGGGAGGCAGCAGUUGGGAAUAUUGGACAAUGGGGGAAACCCUGAUCCAGUGACGCCGCGUGAAGGAAGAAGGUCUUCGGAUUGUAAACUUAUUUUGUCAGGGAAGAAAAAAAUGACUGUACCUGAAGAAGAAGGACCGGCUAACUACGUGCCAGCAGCCGCGGUAAUACGUAGGGUCCAAGCGUUAUCCGGAUUUACUGGGUGUAAAGGGCGAGUAGACGGCGUGAUAAGUCAGAUGUGAAAUCUUAGGGCUCAACCUUAAGACUGCAUCUGAAACUGUCAUGCUAGAGUGCAGAAGAGGUAAGUGGAAUUCCUAGUGUAGCGGUGAAAUGCGUAGAUAUUAGGAGGAACACCAGUGGCGAAGGCGACUUACUGGGCUGUAACUGACGUUGAGGCGCGAAAGUGUGGGGAGCAAACAGGAUUAGAUACCCUGGUAGUCCACACCGUAAACGAUGGAUACUA